GCCUGGGGAAGAAGUCUCUGGAGCAGUGGGUGACCGAGGAGGCCUCCUGCCUUUGUGAUGCUUUUGCCAACCAUGCUGGGCAGCCCUUUCGACCCAACGCCCUGAUGAGCAAAGCGGUGUGCAACGUGAUUGCUUCCCUCAUCUACUCACGCCACUUCGAGUACGAUGACUACAUUGUGAUCAGGUUGACCGAGUUACUGGAGGAUGGCCUGAAGGAUGACAAUGGCUUGUUGCUUCAGGUAGUGAACUCAGUGCCACUGCUCACACGCAUCCCAUGGGUGGCUGC
Molecule: long non-coding RNA, 286 nt
Organism: Octodon degus (degu)
Lineage: Eukaryota; Metazoa; Chordata; Mammalia; Rodentia; Octodontidae
Exons: 3
Source: RefSeq, a predicted model, not a curated record